This 440-nucleotide ribosomal RNA is filed under the name uncultured bacterium. RNAcentral describes it as "partial 16S ribosomal RNA". It matches the Rfam family "Bacterial small subunit ribosomal RNA", at positions 335 to 795 of the family's 1533-position model. The record is from RNAcentral.
ACUACGUGAGGCAGCAGUAGGGAAUAUUGCUCAAUGGGGGAAACCCUGAAGCAGCAACGCCGCGUGGAGGAUGAAGGUUUUCGGAUUGUAAACUCCUUUUGUUAGAGAAGAUAAUGACGGUAUCUAACGAAUAAGCACCGGCUAACUCCGUGCCAGCAGCCGCGGUAAUACGGAGGGUGCAAGCGUUACUCGGAAUCACUGGGCGUAAAGAGCGCGUAGGCGGGAUAGCAAGUCAGAUGUGAAAUCCUAUGGCUUAACCAUAGAACUGCAUUUGAAAAUGUUAUUCUAGAGUAUGGGAGAGGUAGGUGGAAUUCUUGGUGUAGGGGUAAAAUCCGUAGAGAUCAAGAGGAAUACUCAUUGCGAAGGCGACCUGCUAGAACAUAACUGACGCUGAUGCGCGAAAGCGUGGGGAGCAAACAGGAUUAGAUACCCCAGUAGUC